This 253-nucleotide ribosomal RNA is filed under the name uncultured bacterium. RNAcentral describes it as "partial 16S ribosomal RNA". It matches the Rfam family "Bacterial small subunit ribosomal RNA", at positions 524 to 776 of the family's 1533-position model. The record is from RNAcentral.
UACAGAGGUCUCAAGCGUUGUUCGGAUUCAUUGGGCGUAAAGGGUGCGUAGGCGGCGCGGUAAGUCGGGUGUGAAAUCUCGGAGCUUAACUCCGAAACUGCAUUCGAUACUGCCGUGCUUGAGGACUGGAGAGGAGACUGGAAUUUACGGUGUAGCGGUGAAAUGCGUAGAUAUCGGGAGGAACAUCAAAGGCGAAGGCAGUGUCCUGGCGAGUAACUGACGCUGAGGUGCGAAAGCUAGGGGAGCGAACGGG